UCACUUAGGGCAGCAGCCACGACGUCGUCUUCAUCCAGCUCGCGAUCGUCCACUGCAUCUCUCCAAUCGCCGUCGACACUAUUAGGUAAAUCUUCACCGCUCUUCUCGUCUUUAUCUAGCUCUACUCUCCGGUUAACAUCUUGUAAUAUCUCUUCCUUGUUGAAUGUGAGUCUAUCAUCUCCUUCCCUCAUUGAGAAGACCUUGUCCACAAGGUCAGUGGACGGAAACGCCGCUACCAGCUUCUCCAUUCGCUCCCACGUCGUCUCCUCGGGUGGCAGCCCUUCCCACUGGACCAGUAGCUCGACGACUGGCAUGGGUUUUCUUUCUCUAACACCGCUCUCUUCUCCAAAAUCGCUAAUGAAAUGGUCAAAACUUUAUUUUUGCAGAUCAGACCGGGUAUAUUUUUUUCCACCAACUUUGGAUUUUCACCUUUAAAUGCUUUUAGUUUUGAUACAUAAAAUAUUGGGUGAAAUUUGCUCUCUUUUGGAAGAUCCAUCAAAUACGCCACCUUGCUGAUGGCUUUCACCACUUUGAAGGGUCCGAAAUAUCUUACUGAAAGCUUGGGAUGGAGCCUGAAUUCUACUGACAUUUGUCGGUAUGGUUGGAAUCUAAACAUGACUCAAUCCUCCACUGUAAGAACUGUUUCUCUCCUUUUUUUAUCUGCUAUUUCCUUCAUGUAUUCUUGGGAUUUUUUAAAACAAUUUUUCACAUAUUUAAUGAUCUCUUUACGCCUCUUUAAUUCUGUUUGAACUGCUUCUACAUAUGAUGUCUUUCCGACCAACGAUGGUAUGCUUGGCGC
Molecule: long non-coding RNA, 799 nt
Filed under: Zostera marina
Lineage: Eukaryota; Viridiplantae; Streptophyta; Magnoliopsida; Alismatales; Zosteraceae
Description: long non-coding RNA (ZMAR_LNC001450)
Source: RNAcentral